CCUACGGGUGGCAGCAGUGAGGAAUAUUGGUCAAUGGACGAGAGUCUGAACCAGCCAAGUAGCGUGAAGGAUGACUGCCCUAUGGGUUGUAAACUUCUUUUAUAUGGGAAUAAAAUGUUCCACGUGUGGGUUUUUGUAUGUACCAUAUGAAUAAGGAUCGGCUAACUCCGUGCCAGCAGCCGCGGUAAUACGGAGGAUCCGAGCGUUAUCCGGAUUUAUUGGGUUUAAAGGGCGCGUAGGUGGAUUGUUAAGUCAGUUGUGAAAGUUUGCGGCUCAACCGUAAAAUUGCAGUUGAAACUGGCAGUCUUGAGUACAGUAGAGGUGGGCGGAAUUCGUGGUGUAGCGGUGAAAUGCUUAGAGAUCACGAAGAACUCCGAUUGCGAAGGCAGCUCACUGGACUGCAACUGACACUGAGGCUCGAAAGUGUGGGUAUCAAACAGGAUUAGAUACCCGUGUAGUC
This 460-nucleotide ribosomal RNA is filed under the name uncultured bacterium. Its description in RNAcentral is "partial 16S ribosomal RNA". It matches the Rfam family "Bacterial small subunit ribosomal RNA", at positions 338 to 795 of the family's 1533-position model. The record is from RNAcentral.